This 161-nucleotide non-coding RNA is filed under the name Rickettsiales bacterium. RNAcentral describes it as "6S RNA". It matches the Rfam family "6S / SsrS RNA". Rfam says of the family: E. coli 6S RNA was the first non coding RNA to be sequenced, but its function was unknown until recently. It consists of 184 nucleotides that fold into an extended hairpin structure with a large single-stranded internal bulge. Lineage: Bacteria; Pseudomonadati; Pseudomonadota; Alphaproteobacteria; Rickettsiales. The record is from RNAcentral.
AGCUGGCUGUUUGACGCGAUACGGUUUUACAAACUCCUAGGGCCGAUGUCUUUCGCAUAGGGAGCCGUCGCUGAGAAGGAUCGUGGUCCUUUUCAUAUGGCACCCACCUGGUUUACCGGGCCGUAGCGAAUAAUAUAACCACCGGUCAAAAUGGCUGGCUU